This 895-nucleotide long non-coding RNA is filed under the name Serinus canaria (Common canary). Its description in RNAcentral is "lncRNA (ENSSCAG00000001923.1)". Lineage: Eukaryota; Metazoa; Chordata; Aves; Passeriformes; Fringillidae. The record is from RNAcentral.
UCCCUUAGGGCCGAGGCCAGAGUGUCCCCAAUGUCCCUGUCCCCAGUGUCCUUCAGGGUGGUGGCAUCGCUGUCCCCAGUGUCCCUGAUGUCCCCAGUGUCCCCAAUGUCCUGCAGGGUGGGGACAUCCCUGUCCCCAAUGUCCCCAAUGUCCCCAAUGUCCCUGACACCCCCCAGGUCCCCAAUGUCCCCAAGGUUCUUGACGCCCCCAAUGUCCCCAAUGAUGUCCCCAAUGUCCCUGAUGUCCCCAGUGAUGUCCCCAGUGUCCCCAAGGUUCCUGAUGUCCCCGACGUCUUUGAUGUCCCCAACACUCUUGAUGUCCCCAAUGCCUUUGAUGUCCCCAAUGAUGUCCCCAAUGUCCUCGAUGCCUUUGGUGUCCCCAACGUCCCCAGGGUUCUUGAUGUCCCCAGUGUCCCCAACAUCCCCGAUGUCCCCAGCAAUGUCCCCAAGGUCCCCAGCGAUGUCCCCAGGGUUCUUGAUGUCCCCAGUGAUGUCCCCAAUGUCCCCAAGGUUCUUGAUGUCCCCAAUGAUGUCCCCAACGUCCCCAAUGCCUUUGAUGUCCCCAGCGAUGUCCCCAGGGUUCUUGAUGUCCCCAAUGUCCCCAACAUCCCCGAUGUCCCCAAAGUUCCUGAUGUCCCCAAUAACGUCCCCAAUGUCCUUGGUGCCUUUGAUGUCCCCAGUGUCCCCAAUGUCCCCAAUGAUGUCCCCAAUGUCCUCAGGGCCUUUGAUGUCCCCGAUGUCCCCAAGGUUCUUGAUGUCCCCAACGUCCCCAAUGAUGUCCCCAAUGUCCUCAGGGCCUUUGAUGUCCCCAAGGUCCCCAGCGAUGUCCCCAGUGUCCCUGAUGUCCCCAAUGAUGUCCCUGACAUCCUCGGUGCCUUUGAUGUCCCCAUCGCCCC